This is a non-coding RNA of Podarcis raffonei (Aeolian wall lizard), 76 nucleotides long. Lineage: Eukaryota; Metazoa; Chordata; Lepidosauria; Squamata; Lacertidae. The record is from the annotation of a RefSeq genome assembly.
GCCCUCCUGUGGCGCAACAGGUCAGUGUGUCUGGCUGUUAUCCAGAUGGUUGGUGGUUCAAGCCCACCCAGGGGCA